AUGUAUAUCUCAAUUACUCGUUUGCAGAAUGUAUCGAGCAAUUGCUGCGGUACCCAACAGGAGACAAUCUGAGGUUUAGAUUUUAUUGUGAUUCUUAUAAAGUGAUGUUUAAAAGUUGCGGAGUUCACAUAAUCUGUAAGCAUGAAGAGAAUGAGAAUUUAACAGUUGGGGAGUGCUCAGUAGAUUCAUCGAAUGGUAUCCAGCUUUCUAAGAGACGUCGAGAUAAUGAAGACAGCAACUUGGAAUUCAAUGGGUAUCCACAACACAAGAGACGCUCUCAAGACUUGGGCAAUUCAAAUGCAACAUAGUUAGGCUCACCACAAUCGUAUUCUUGCCAGCCAUCUCACGCACAAAUCACACCAUCUUCUUCCUUCGAUUGGAGAGACUUCCUCAGCGAACUUGUUCCCUGUCCGGGCUUUCAGGAACAACAAGAUCUCUACUUGAAGGGAGUCUCAUCGCCAGCCAAUUACCCGUCAACUCUCGAGCAAAUACCCCAGUUAAACUAGGAAUUAUAAUGGUCUAAAUUGAGUUGGACAUGAGGGUGGUUUUGAGACAUUUGAUUUUGGAUCCACAAGUGGAGCUCAAACAAGCAACAGGUCAGAAGUUUCAUCAUCUGUGAGUUCAUUUGUGGAGGCUAUUCGGGAACAGGACAGUGAGAUGCCAGCAGAAUUUCCAGAUAUUUUAGAUGCAUCUUUUGAUUACUAGUUCUCCAAGAACGAUCAACGUGCAGUUAUGCUUGUUUUGGCCUCUCUUCUGUUUUAGAAGAUUUGUUAAUGGAAAGAUGAGUUUUUGUUUAGAAUUUCUACUUCUCAGUCGGCUGACGGAGCUGAAUUCGAGCUUCUCCGCCGGAUCUACCAGAAACAUAUAUUCUCCACAGGCUGUACCAAGAGGGAUGUUCUUUUUCUUUGCACAAUCUCUUAGACAGCCUGAAGACACUCAUUGCAAAGGUUGGACCUGCCUGAACCAACUGCCCCCACUGUUCAAUAAGCUGAACCAUCUCGCCUCUGGUUUUGUUUGUUUCAGAACUCCCUAACCCCAUCGCAGCUCUGUUUUCCACUUUUUCUCUUCUACUCCGUCGCCAUGACAAAGCAAGAUGAUCUUGAACAAAAUGCAAACACUUCUUUUUUUCCUCCUUGUGAGUGAAGAUUGGAGGAGCACAAAGAAGAAUAAACCUCUCUGCCUACCUGACAUUGGGCUCGUGUGUAUCAAAUAGGUGGACUAGAAGAGUCUAUCAUUCGCACUGUGGAUUAGUACCUUGUGCAGAGAUUAAAUACGUCCAACAAAUAUCAAUAGAGUAAAAAGUUGAAGUUUUGAAAUAGCUGGUGGGCCUUGAAGAGGAGUCGUCGAUGGCGAGGAGCAGAUGCACGGCAGGGAGAGGGAGACUGAAACGUUAUUUUCAGAUUUAAUUGGGCUACUUUUUGAUUUAGAAAUAAGGGUGUUUUGAUCAAGUCCAUGAUAAAGUGGGGUAUUUUUUGUCAAUUCCUAUAUUUGGACUGCAAAGGAGUCCAAGAAAUUGGACUGUACGCAGCCCUUAAGGAGCACUUGAGAUAAAAAUGUGUUUUUCCCGCUACUGAUAUUAGACCAUACCCUUUGCUUCAGGUUUCUAAAUGUAUUUCGCUUCAGGUUUCUAAAUGUAUUGUAUCUUUUUUUUUCCCACCAUGAUGGGUAAAUCAAUAUACCUUUCAUAGCUACCACACACAGACACCCCUACCAUAUUUCUGAUUUGCAAUCUGAUCUGCAUAUCUGUAUUGGAGCUGAAAAAUAUGGCAGAUUUCUGUAAAUUCAGACAUUGGUCAGAGGCCUAUUCAUACAGCUUUAGAAGCCCUUGUAUUUGCUGCCACUCAGCCAUCUUAGCCCUACAAAAAAUGAGACAGUCAUCAUAAAAAAGGAGAUGACUGAUCCUUGUACCCCUUCUUCAAACAACAACCCCUUUUAUUACCACUCUUCUCUCAGCAAAAUGUCAGACUCGGAGGAGCACCAUUUUGAGUCUAAGGGCGAUGCAGGAUGGUCAAAGACCUAUCCCCAGCAAGCUGGUACCAUUCGUAAGAAUGUCUAUAUCGUCAUCAAGAACAGGCCUUGCAAGGUUGUAGAAGUUUCCACUUCAAAGACAGGCAAGCAUGGACAUGCAAAGUGCCACUAUGUGGGAAUUGACAUAUUUAAUGGGAAGAAGCUUGAGGAUAUCGUUCCUUCAUCACACAACUGUGAUGUUCCUUAUGUUUCUCGCACUGAUUAUCAGUUGAUUGAUAUCUCUGAAGAUGGUUUUGUUUGGGAGGAGGUGGGGUUGGUUUUAGGACAGAGGCAUGACUUUCACGAGCCAUUGGUGUAUGAUGAGGACGUAUAAGCAAGUGUUGUUGAUUUCUUCUAUUGGGAACAAACAAUGUUGAGGGGAUAGAAGUGAUUCUGCCUGAGGGCAAUGAUCAUGACAUGAUACGCUUGAGUCCCAAAUCAUUUAGAAAGAUGAAAAGACUCAGAUUUUUUAAAAGCCAUGGUGCAUACUUUUCUGGAAGAUCACUUGAUUAUCUUUCUAAUGAAUUAAGAGUGCUUGAUUGGUCAAACUGUCCUUUACAAUCUUUGCCAUCUAAUUUCCGUGGAGAGAAGCUAUUUGAUUUCAAACUAUACAGAGGCCACAUCCAGGAGAUUAGCGGGCAAUUUAAGGUGUUUGGAUUGGAGCUUCCUGUACUCCUAUGAACACUGCCAUAGCUUCUCCUAGAUUCGGAUUGUAGCUCUCUGAGUGCUUAGCUAUUAUGAAAACAAUUUUGCCAUUGUGUGAUCUGCAUAUGGCAGCAGAGGUGCUACCAUUUGGUCUAACUGCUACAUCAAAUGCAAUUGAAAUGAUUUCUGGAGGAGGGGACCAUCUAUUCUUGUUAUGAAGUUCUUUCCAUU
Juglans regia (Persian walnut) is the source of this 2883-nucleotide RNA transcript. It is a transcript of the gene named eukaryotic translation initiation factor 5A-like, with no coding region annotated. Lineage: Eukaryota; Viridiplantae; Streptophyta; Magnoliopsida; Fagales; Juglandaceae. The transcript has 10 exons. The record is from RefSeq and is a predicted model, not a curated record.